This 862-nucleotide ribosomal RNA is filed under the name Bacillus safensis. RNAcentral's name for it is "bacterial SSU rRNA". It matches the Rfam family "Bacterial small subunit ribosomal RNA", at positions 22 to 866 of the family's 1533-position model. Lineage: Bacteria; Bacillati; Bacillota; Bacilli; Caryophanales; Bacillaceae. The record is from RNAcentral.
GCUCAGGACGAACGCUGGCGGCGUGCCUAAUACAUGCAAGUCGAGCGGACAGAAGGGAGCUUGCUCCCGGAUGUUAGCGGCGGACGGGUGAGUAACACGUGGGUAACCUGCCUGUAAGACUGGGAUAACUCCGGGAAACCGGAGCUAAUACCGGAUAGUUCCUUGAACCGCAUGGUUCAAGGAUGAAAGACGGUUUCGGCUGUCACUUACAGAUGGACCCGCGGCGCAUUAGCUAGUUGGUGGGGUAAUGGCUCACCAAGGCGACGAUGCGUAGCCGACCUGAGAGGGUGAUCGGCCACACUGGGACUGAGACACGGCCCAGACUCCUACGGGAGGCAGCAGUAGGGAAUCUUCCGCAAUGGACGAAAGUCUGACGGAGCAACGCCGCGUGAGUGAUGAAGGUUUUCGGAUCGUAAAGCUCUGUUGUUAGGGAAGAACAAGUGCGAGAGUAACUGCUCGCACCUUGACGGUACCUAACCAGAAAGCCACGGCUAACUACGUGCCAGCAGCCGCGGUAAUACGUAGGUGGCAAGCGUUGUCCGGAAUUAUUGGGCGUAAAGGGCUCGCAGGCGGUUUCUUAAGUCUGAUGUGAAAGCCCCCGGCUCAACCGGGGAGGGUCAUUGGAAACUGGGAAACUUGAGUGCAGAAGAGGAGAGUGGAAUUCCACGUGUAGCGGUGAAAUGCGUAGAGAUGUGGAGGAACACCAGUGGCGAAGGCGACUCUCUGGUCUGUAACUGACGCUGAGGAGCGAAAGCGUGGGGAGCGAACAGGAUUAGAUACCCUGGUAGUCCACGCCGUAAACGAUGAGUGCUAAGUGUUAGGGGGUUUCCGCCCCUUAGUGCUGCAGCUAACGCAUUAAGCA